This 688-nucleotide unclassified non-coding RNA is filed under the name Hevea brasiliensis (rubber tree). Lineage: Eukaryota; Viridiplantae; Streptophyta; Magnoliopsida; Malpighiales; Euphorbiaceae. The record is from RNAcentral.
GAUUCCUCAUCUGAUGGGAAAAACUCUGAUAAGAAAGAACCAAGAGAUAUGCUUUCAAGUUUGGAUGGUUCAUCAGGAGUGGAAAUCACUACGGCUCUAAAGCUGCAGAUGGAGGUGCAAAAGAGACUGCAUGAACAACUGGAGGUGCAGAAACAGCUACAACUUAGAAUAGAAGCUCAAGGUAAGUAUUUGAAGAAAAUAAUCGAAGAGCAACAGCGGUUGAGUGGAGUUCUUUCAGACGUUCCUGGUUCUGGGGUCACUGCUCUUCCAACUGGUGACAACGGCCCAGAAUCUGAUAGCAGGACUGAUCCAGGAACUCCUGCACCGUCAUCUGAGGCUCCUCAUGUUGAUAAGCCUGUAAAUGCACAUACCUCAACCAAGAGCCUUUCUAUGGACGAAUCAUUCUCCUCACAUCAUUCUCCUCUCAGUCCAGACUCUGAUUGCCAAGAAACUUCGCUAAUGGAGAGCCCUAACGGGGAGAGUUCCUCAAAGAAACAACGAGUGGGCAACGUGGCACUUCCACAUCAGAUAUUGGAAUCAAGCGUGAGCCCACCAUACCAGCAGCCACAUUCAGUUUUUAUGAUGAGGGACCAAUUUAAUCAUACAUCAGGAUUAUCUCUUGAUAUCGAGGAUCAUAAAGUUUCUGGUAGCAACAUAUAGUUAUUCGAUAUUCGAUGUCCUGCAUCCU